UACAGAGGCCUCAAGCGUUGUUCGGAUUCAUUGGGCGUAAAGGGUGUGUAGGUGGCGCGCUAAGUCGGGUGUGAAAUUUCGGAGCUUAACUCCGAAACUGCAUUCGAUACUGGCGUGCUUGAGGACUGGAGAGGAGACUGGAAUUUACGGUGUAGCAGUGAAAUGCGUAGAUAUCGUAAGGAAGACCAGUGGCGAAGGCGGGUCUCUGGACAGUUCCUGACACUGAGACACGAAGGCCAGGGGAGCAAACGGG
RNAcentral lists this ribosomal RNA (253 nucleotides) under uncultured bacterium. RNAcentral's name for it is "partial 16S ribosomal RNA". It matches the Rfam family "Bacterial small subunit ribosomal RNA", at positions 524 to 776 of the family's 1533-position model. The record is from RNAcentral.